Molecule: ribosomal RNA, 1020 nt
Filed under: Cerion uva
Lineage: Eukaryota; Metazoa; Mollusca; Gastropoda; Stylommatophora; Cerionidae
Description: 16S ribosomal RNA
Rfam family: Archaeal large subunit ribosomal RNA
Source: RNAcentral
CACGAUAGAGGAUGAGCUAAUUGACUGAGCAUUAAUUUAUAUUUAUGCGUUGGAAUUAACGAAGAGACUAGCGUAGAGCAGGACUCUUUACUAAGUCUGUUGCAUUAGGCUAAUAAGAGAGACAAUUAGGGGUGAAAGGCCUAUCAAAUCCUCUGAUAUCUUGAUAAUAAGUAAAUGUAUUUAGUACAGCUAACUUCAGUUAAUUGUAAAACAGCUCUUAAGUGAUUAGGCUUAAGAGUUAUAGCUAAAGUUUUAACUCCUGCUUAUGGGGCUGUCGAGGCCCUAAUUAAACACAUUAACAUUGAUUCUAAUUAUUCACUUAGGUCAAAUACUUAUUUAGUUUCACAAAUUUAAACUGAGGCUUGAUAAUGUUAACAUUAGUAAUUUUAACUGGUUUUUACACCAAAAUAGGUUUAAUGAACUCGGCAAAUAUUUAUCCUCAUCUGUUUAUCAAAAACAUAGCCCUCUGAGAUAGUUAUAGGGGGUUACCCCUGCUCAAUGAUUUUUAUUUAAUAGCCGCAGUACCCUGACUGUGCUAAGGUAGCAUAAUCACUUGGCCUUUAAUUGGGGUCUGGAAUGAAUGGGGCUAAUGGGGAGAAGCUAUAUUAAGCUUACUUAUUUGAAUUUAUUUAGAGGGUGAAAAUCCCCUCAGGCUUUAACAUAGGACGAGAAGACCCUAAGAGUUUUCAUGCAAACUAAAGAUUAAAUUAAGCUUGAACACUGAUUUAAUCUUUCAUACUUUAGUUUUUGCUGGGGCGGCAGGACUUCACCAUAAAAACAAGUCUUAGUAUUUAAUAUACAAGUAAAUAGUUUAUAAGAAAGGAUAAACUACCUUAGGGAUAACAGCACUAUUCACUAUUGAGUUUAUGACCUCGAUGUUGGACUAAGUAUCUUAGUUGUCAGAAGCAACUGAGCAAUGUUCUGUUCGAACACAAUGUACUUACAUGAUCUGAGUUCAGACCGGCGUAAGCCAGGUCAGAUUCUAUCCAUUACUGGUAUGCCAUAUAGUACGAAAGGAAA